UUAUUAGGUAUAAUUUUUUCGUACAAUGUUUUGAUUUGUCAUGAAUCAAGAUAUGUCUAAUGUUGUCACAUAUGAUUCAAAGAUGAGUCUCGUAUGGUCGAUAGACGAGUCUCCUAAAAUUAUUUCGAAGGACAACAAUAUGGUUUUGAUGAAGCCACAAAACACAAAUUUAUUGAAAAAUUGGAAAUAGCAAGAGUUCAAUAAAAAUUAACAUUUUUGGAACCGAUAAACUAUACCGGAUCUUGGAC
RNAcentral lists this long non-coding RNA (248 nucleotides) under Brassica napus (rape). Its description in RNAcentral is "long non-coding RNA (BNAP_LNC018379)". The record is from RNAcentral. Lineage: Eukaryota; Viridiplantae; Streptophyta; Magnoliopsida; Brassicales; Brassicaceae.